AUAACAGCGUUAUUUUUUUUUAGAGUUCAAAUCGAAAAAAGAGAUUGCGACCUCGAUGUUGGAUUAAAGUAAAUUUUAGGUGUAGGAGCUUAAAAAUUUGGUCUGUUCGACCAUUAAAACUUUACAUGAUCUGAGUUUAAACCGGUGUGAGCCAGGUUGGUUUCUAUCUUUAUAUAGUUAAUAAAUUUUAGUACGAAAGGACCAAAUUUAUAAUUAAAAAUUUAUGUUUUGAAUAAAAAU
Molecule: ribosomal RNA, 240 nt
Filed under: Coccinella septempunctata (seven-spotted ladybird)
Lineage: Eukaryota; Metazoa; Arthropoda; Insecta; Coleoptera; Coccinellidae
Description: partial 16S ribosomal RNA
Rfam family: Bacterial large subunit ribosomal RNA (bases 1-169)
Source: RNAcentral